AUUGAACGCUGGCGGCAUGCCUUACACAUGCAAGUCGAACGGCAGCACGGGUGCUUGCCCCUGGUGGCGAGUGGCGAACGGGUGAGUAAUACAUCGGAACAUGUCCUGUAGUGGGGGAUAGCCCGGCGAAAGCCGGAUUAAUACCGCAUACGCUCUACGGAUGAAAGCGGGGGACCUUCGGGCCUCGCGCUGUAGGGUUGGCCGAUGGCUGAUUAGCUAGUUGGUGGGGUAAAGGCCUACCAAGGCGACGAUCAGUAGCUGGUCUGAGAGUACGACCAGCCACACUGGGACUGAGACACGGCCCAGACUCCUACGGGAGGCAGCAGUGGGGAAUUUUGGACAAUGGGCGAAAGCCUGAUCCAGCAAUGCCGCGUGUGUGAAGAAGGCCUUCGGGUUGUAAAGCACUUUUGUCCGGAAAGAAAUCCUUGGCCCUAAUACGGUCGGGGGAUGACGGUACCGGAAGAAUAAGCACCGGCUAACUACGUG
RNAcentral lists this ribosomal RNA (486 nucleotides) under uncultured bacterium. RNAcentral describes it as "partial 16S ribosomal RNA". It matches the Rfam family "Bacterial small subunit ribosomal RNA", at positions 30 to 507 of the family's 1533-position model. The record is from RNAcentral.